Molecule: small nuclear RNA, 153 nt
Filed under: Zalophus californianus (California sea lion)
Lineage: Eukaryota; Metazoa; Chordata; Mammalia; Carnivora; Otariidae
Description: U4 spliceosomal RNA (ENSZCAG00015025068.1)
Rfam family: U4 spliceosomal RNA (bases 1-130)
About the family: U4 small nuclear RNA (U4 snRNA) is a component of the major U2-dependent spliceosome. The structure of U4 snRNA from yeast and human has been reported. U4 snRNA presents a k-turn RNA motif in the 5p-SL related to recognition of Snu13 protein.
Source: RNAcentral
AGCUUUGCGCAGUGGCAGUAUCGUAGCCAAUGAGGUUUAUCCGAGGCGCGAUUAUUGCUAAUUAAAAAUAAAUAAAUAUAAAAAUUAAAAAAUUAAAAAACCUGGUGAUUUUGAGCGAUGAUUUUGAUGAUUUUAAUUGAUUGCUUUGUGGUA